This is a long non-coding RNA of Oreochromis niloticus (Nile tilapia), 1359 nucleotides long. RefSeq lists it as uncharacterized. The record is from RefSeq and is a predicted model, not a curated record. The transcript has 5 exons. NCBI's taxonomy places the organism in Eukaryota, Metazoa, Chordata, Actinopteri, Cichliformes, Cichlidae.
UAAACCGCCCGCAGGGGGCGUGCUGGGUGUUUUUUUUUUUUUUUAUGUAUGUAUGUAUGUAUGUAUGCAGGUUCUCUAUAAGAGCUGCUGAUGUAAACCGUUGCUCUCUAAUUCCAGAUAUUCAGAUGGACCGAGAAAUGAUUACAAGUUAAAAUACAAAAGUAAAGAAUUGUUUUAAAAAGAGUGAUCUAUCUCAUUGGUGCUGAGUUUCAUAACUCAACUUCUGAGUAAAAGAUGUAGAGCAGGAGUCCCCAAUCCCAGUCCACGAGGGCCGGUGUCCCUGCAGGUUUUAGAUGUGUCCUUGAUCCAAUACAGCUGAUUUAAAUGGCUAAAUUACCUCCUCAACAUGUCUUGAAGUUCUCCAGAGGCCUGGUAAUGAACUAAUCAUUUGAUUCAGGUGUGUUGACCCAGGGUGAGAUCUAAACCCUGCAGAACACUGGCCCUCGCAGACUGGGAUUGGGUACCCCUGAUGUAGAGUCAUAGGUUGAGUUAGUUUGACGAAAUAUUGGUUCAGAAGUUGUGACUCAGCAGUAGGGUUGGUGAUGUGUCGGGUUCUUUAAUUAACUCCACAGCUUGGCUAUUUCUAUUGGGUCAUAGGUCGGUUAGCUUUGAUCAAAUAUUGGGUCAAAUUUUACCCAAUUCGUUGGAUUAAAGACAAGCCUCAGAAGAAGCCACAUAAUUUUUUCACAAACUGCCACUUUCAACUAGACUUUCACCUGAUAAGAUAUAACUCGACUUUCUUCUACAAUGAAUAGAUGAAGGCAAUUUUGGCAUCGUCAAUAGCAGAUCAGUUUCCAUGUUUAGGGGACUGCCAUGGCACAGGAUAUGACACGCGAGGAAACACGGGCUCUCAUUGAGUGGCGGGCAGCAAAUGAGAGCCUUUUUACUGGAAGGAGAAAUUCCUGCAAGACUAGAUGGGAGGACUUUGUUAGCUCUUCAGGCUAUAACAGCCAAACAAGCAAAAAAAAAAAGUGGAGCAACCUGAAGGCCAAAUACAAGGGACCCAUCUACAGGGAAGGGUGUAGAGGCAGGUAGCCCGACUGCCACCACCUGGCAGCGCUACAAUAUGAUGGAUGCUGUGAUCCAGCGGCAGCACUCAAGUCUACCAGCAAACCUGACUUUCACUACAGGUGAUGCAAUCAGCACUACACCAUAGACCCCUUCUACAGAAGAGUCGAGGAAGAGGCCCAGGGACAGCCAGGCUAUCCUACCGUUUUUAAAAGACCAACCAGAAAGAGAGGAAAACAGAGAGAGACAGGCUCUGGCUAGGGAGGAAGAGAGGGAGAGGGCAGCUACUCAAAGGGCAGAGUGAUAUCUGUCACUAUUUGAGAAACUUGUUGACAAACUUUAAAUAAAGCA